RNAcentral lists this ribosomal RNA (292 nucleotides) under uncultured bacterium. RNAcentral describes it as "partial 16S ribosomal RNA". It matches the Rfam family "Bacterial small subunit ribosomal RNA", at positions 505 to 796 of the family's 1533-position model. The record is from RNAcentral.
GUGCCAGCCGCCGCGGUAAGACGUAGGAUGCAAGCGUUGUCCGGAUUUAUUGGGCGUAAAGAGUUCGUAGGCGGUUUGUUAAGUCUGAUGUUAAAGACUGGGGCUCAACCCUGGGACCGCAUUGGAUACUGGCAGACUCGAGUGCAGUAGAGGCAAGUGGAAUUCCCAGUGUAGCGGUGAAAUGCGUAGAUAUUGGGAAGAACACCGGUGGCGCAAGCGACUUGCUGGGCUGUAACUGACGCUGAGGAACGAAAGCUAGGGUAGCGAAUGGGAUUAGAAACCCCCGUAGUCC